RNAcentral lists this ribosomal RNA (465 nucleotides) under uncultured bacterium. Its description in RNAcentral is "partial 16S ribosomal RNA". It matches the Rfam family "Bacterial small subunit ribosomal RNA", at positions 28 to 507 of the family's 1533-position model. The record is from RNAcentral.
GACGAACGCUGGCGGCGUGCUUAACACAUGCAAGUCGAACGGAAAGGCCCUGCUCGCAGGGUACUCGAGUGGCGAACGGGUGAGUAACACGUGGGUGAUCUGCCCUGCACUUCGGGAUAAGCCUGGGAAACUGGGUCUAAUACCGGAUAGGAGCCAUUUUUAGUGUGAUGGUUGGAAAGUUUUUUCGGUGUAGGAUGAGCUCGCGGCCUAUCAGCUUGUUGGUGGGGUAAUGGCCUACCAAGGCGGCGACGGGUAGCCGGCCUGAGAGGGUGGACGGCCACAUUGGGACUGAGAUACGGCCCAGACUCCUACGGGAGGCAGCAGUGGGGAAUAUUGCACAAUGGGCGCAAGCCUGAUGCAGCGACGCCGCGUGGGGGAUGACGGCCUUCGGGUUGUAAACUCCUUUCGCUAGGGACGAAGCUUUUUGUGACGGUACCUAGAUAAGAAGCACCGGCUAACUACGUG